RNAcentral lists this ribosomal RNA (1054 nucleotides) under uncultured Comamonas sp. RNAcentral describes it as "bacterial SSU rRNA". It matches the Rfam family "Bacterial small subunit ribosomal RNA", at positions 1 to 1058 of the family's 1533-position model. The record is from RNAcentral. Lineage: Bacteria; Pseudomonadati; Pseudomonadota; Betaproteobacteria; Burkholderiales; Comamonadaceae.
CGAAUUCCAAGCUUAGAGUUUGAUCCUGGCUCAGAUUGAACGCUGGCGGCAUGCCUUACACAUGCAAGUCGAACGGCAGCGCGUCCUUCGGGAUGGCGGCGAGUGGCGAACGGGUGAGUAGAGCAUCGGAACGUGCCCGGUAGUGCGGGAUAGCUCGGCGAAAGCCGGAUUAAUACCGCAUGAGAUCCGAGGAUGAAAGCAGGGGACUCGCAAGGGCCUUGCGCUACUGGAGCGGCCGAUGUCAGAUUAGGUAGUUGGUGGGGUAAAGGCUCACCAAGCCUGCGAUCUGUAGCUGGUCUGAGAGGAUGAUCAGCCACAUCGGGACUGAGACACGGCCCGAACUCCUACGGGAGGCAGCAGUGGGGAAUUUUGGACAAUGGGCGCAAGCCUGAUCCAGCCAUGCCGCGUGCAGGAUGAAGGCCCUCGGGUUGUAAACUGCUUUUGUACGGAACGAAAAGCCUCCUUCUAAUAAAGGGGGGUGAUGACGGUACCGUAAGAAUAAGCACCGGCUAACUACGUGCCAGCAGCCGCGGUAAUACGUAGGGUGCGAGCGUUAAUCGGAAUUACUGGGCGUAAAGCGUGCGCAGGCGGUCUUGCAAGACAGUGGUGAAAUCCCCGGGCUCAACCUGGGAACUGCCAUUGUGACUGCAAGGCUGGAGUACGGCAGAGGGGGAUGGAAUUCCGCGUGUAGCAGUGAAAUGCGUAGAUAUGCGGAGGAACACCGAUGGCGAAGGCAGUCCCCUGGGCCUGUACUGACGCUCAUGCACGAAAGCGUGGGGAGCAAACAGGAUUAGAUACCCUGGUAGUCCACGCCCUAAACGAUGUCAACUGGUUGUUGGGGAUUAUUUCCUCAGUAACGAAGCUAACGCGUGAAGUUGACCGCCUGGGGAGUACGGCGCAAGGUAAAACUCAAAGAAUUGACGGGACCCGCACAAGCGUGGAUGAUGUGGUUAAUUCGAUGCACGCGAAAACUUACCACUUUGACAUGUAUGGAUCUGCAGAGAUGCGGGAGUGCUCGCAGAGAGCAUAACACAGUGCUGCAUGCUGUCGUCAG